This 1732-nucleotide long non-coding RNA is filed under the name Paramuricea clavata. The record is from RNAcentral. Lineage: Eukaryota; Metazoa; Cnidaria; Anthozoa; Malacalcyonacea; Plexauridae.
CACUUUUUUAAUGCGCAUGCGCGACCCUCUGGCAAGUGUCAUGCACAUUUUUUAUCAGGAAAAAGAUAGGGAAAUGCAAAAUUUUGGCAGUAAAACGGCGAUUUUAAGCGCAGUAAACGAUCUAUCUUCAUUUUGUGCACGAAUUUUGCAAAUAAAUGGCACACUGCGUCUUCUUAGCAAAAGGGAAUUGAACGAAUACCAUUUUUAACGGCGAAAAUGAGAAAAGACACCCGAAGGAGUGAGAAUUUCUGGCAAUCUGAAGAUUCGAUUCUGUAGACCUGAACUCCAGCUGGAACUUGGCAACUUUAUAUGUGAGUUUUUUUUCUCUAGCUCAUAUAUAUCAAAUUAUCAAUAUAUUUUUGUCAAGUGCAAUGUUGUAUCAAAGGGUUGUCGUUAAUUUAAACAUUGCAUAAACAACAUUCAGAUACGAAAAUGAACAUCAACAUUCAACAUGGACUGAUGGAGUCAAGGACAUGGAGCCACAGUACUCUAGUACUACUAUAUUUAACUUAUAUAUUGACCCAGUGUUGGGGGAUUGGUCAAAUUAUACUUUAUAGUGAUUCCCCUAGAUUAGUGCAUUGGUUAUUGUGCAAUGACAACCUUUUUUCAGAGACCUCUCAAAGGUCAAUUUCUCAGACAUGCCAAGUCACUGUACAUGUUUAAUAAUCUAAUCUGUUUAUUUAUUUUGUUUAUUUUUCUAGAUUGCCAAUCAUUCCUGUUGAACUACAUUAUUCAUUUCAAUGAAUCAGAUGCAGAAUCUUACAACUAUGGUUAAUUUGUUCAAAUUUGUUCACCUGAUUGGGGAAAACCUGACACUAUUUGAUCUUAUUAGUUAUUGGAAUGCCUAUCAAAUUUACAUAGCCUCAGGCAAUGUUUAUAUAAUUCAUCUCGAGUAAUAGAGAUGCUGUACCCCCUGAGGGAGUGACCCUACUACCUGGAUCAUCCCACUAGGCAAGACAGGUUCAAAACUUUCCAUGCAUUUAACACUUGCAUGGCAGUUGCUAUAAUAGGAUAUGAUAGUUGCUAUAAUAGGAUAAUAUAAUUUUGCCUUGCCAGGGUGGCUCAGGGGAUAGGAUUUCCCUAGUACCUGGAGACCAUAUAAACAGGUCUUCAGAUUACUGUAAUAGUUUACUGUAAUGGAGGGUUAAAAAAGCACCCCCCCCCCCAUGUAAAAGUGCAUGGUAGGCCUGCUCCCCAAUCCAGCCCCCCUUGGAAGAUGUACUGCAGUAAAGCUAGACAAUUUUACUUGUUAACCCAUUGAGUCACUUUGCGCCCUACUUUAUUAUUUUACUCUGUCUAUUGUCUAACACCAGACGAUCCAGUUAACCUAUUGAGUUACAUUGUGCCCUGAUGCACCCUACUUUAUUAUUUUACUCUGUCUAACGCCAGACGAUUUUACUCGUCAAGGGGAGAGCACACUUGAACAGGGAAAGGAUUAAUUGGGAAUACUUUCUCUAAACUAUUUAUCAAUGAAAGGAACAAUGCAAUUAUUCAUAGUAUGUAACUUUUUAGAUAAAGCAAAGACUGUAGGAGGAAACAUGGAUCAUUGGCUACUUUUUUUAUUUAGUAUUAAUUUCCAUGACAGCAUGUGGGUCAACUAUAAAGGAAACAGUUAUUGCCUAUUUUGGAAUAAAAAAUUUAGAAUAUAGCAAUAUUCAUUGACAUUGAACACAUAUUUAUUUAGUUUUUGAAUAAUUUAAGUUCUUAAAUGUAUAUAAAUGUGAAAUAAAAU